This is a non-coding RNA of Vicia faba (fava bean), 246 nucleotides long. NCBI's taxonomy places the organism in Eukaryota, Viridiplantae, Streptophyta, Magnoliopsida, Fabales, Fabaceae. The record is from the annotation of a GenBank genome assembly.
AUGAAGAUUGCAGAGAGAUUUUCUCGUGAUCCUUCCACAGGGCGAAGGAUGAAUGUGAUAAAGGUUAAUUGUUAUUGUGCAAAACGGUUUGGUGAAGUAAUUUCUAAGGCAUGGCCAAAUGGAAGGAAGCAUGAAGAUCGCUUAAGAGCAUUAAGUUUGAUGAAGAUUAGACUUAGGAUUAGGAUAGGUUUUGGAAUAACUUGUAAUGAUAUCUCAAUAAUAUUUGCUCCUUAUGUAUCUCAAUAG